AGAUAGAAAGUUACUUCGGUACAUCGGUGACAGGUGGUGCAUGGUUGUCGUCAGCUCGUGUCGUGAGAUGUUGGUUAAGUCCGCAACGAGCGCAACCCCUAUUGUUUAGUUGCCAUCAUUCAGUUGGGCACUCUAGCGAGACUGCCGGUAAUAAACCGGAGGAAGGUGGGGAUGACGUCAAAUCAUCAUGCCCCUUAUGACCUGGGCUACACACGUGCUACAAUGGUUGGUACAACGAGUUGCGAGUCGGUGACGGCGAGCUAAUCUCUUAAAGCCAAUCUCAGUUCGGAUUGUAGGCUGCAACUCGCCUACAUGAAGUCGGAAUCGCUAGUAAUCGCGGAUCAGCACGCCGCGGUGAAUACGUUCCCGGGCCUU
Molecule: ribosomal RNA, 375 nt
Filed under: uncultured Streptococcus sp.
Lineage: Bacteria; Bacillati; Bacillota; Bacilli; Lactobacillales; Streptococcaceae
Description: bacterial SSU rRNA
Rfam family: Bacterial small subunit ribosomal RNA
Source: RNAcentral